UACGAAGGGAGCUAGCGUUGUUCGGAAUCACUGGGCGUAAAGCGCACGUAGGCGGAUGUGUCAGUCAGGGGUGAAAUCCCGGAGCUCAACUUCGGAACUGCCUUUGAUACAGCACAUCUGGAGUCCGGAAGAGGUGGGUGGAAUUCCUAGUGUAGAGGUGAAAUUCGUAGAUAUUAGGAAGAACACCCGUGGCUAAGGCGGCUCUCUAGUACGGUACUGACGCUGAGACGCGAAAGCGUGGGGAGCGAACAGG
This 253-nucleotide ribosomal RNA is filed under the name uncultured bacterium. Its description in RNAcentral is "partial 16S ribosomal RNA". It matches the Rfam family "Bacterial small subunit ribosomal RNA", at positions 524 to 776 of the family's 1533-position model. The record is from RNAcentral.